UUGAAUUAAAUUCAAUGCGCAUUGAAUUUAAAAUUACAAGAAUAAUUUAUGAUUACAAGAAACAAAAAAAAAUGCGGCAAAGAUUACUUUAUGAAUAGCAAGUGGGCAAAAUUAAAAUUAUGAGUACAAUACUAAUUUAUUUUUUUCACACAAAAAAAAAUCAAAAUUGCCCAAAUAUACUACAGAUGUGCAUAUUCCAUUUUCUGCGCAAAAUGAGUAUCUUUCAUUACAUUUCUUGCGCAUACAAAGAACAAAAUGCGGCAAAUCUAACUAUGCGCACAAACACUAAUUUUGCGCAUAGUUAAUGCGCAUAUAAUACAUCUAUGCGGCAAAUUGGGCUGUCAAAUAAGGGAGCAUUACACGAAAUUCCAAAUUACAUUUCAGGCACCCAAUCAUUGUCGUCAGUGUGCAGUACAAACACAGCUUUUUCCUGCCAAGAAAAUAUUUAAAAGAUAGAAUGGAUAUGGAGUGUAGCAAUUUGAAAAAGUGGAUAUUUCAAAAAUUCACUCUAGGAAAGGUGGGUAGUUUAGAAUUCCUCCCUUUAUU
Molecule: long non-coding RNA, 546 nt
Filed under: Salvia miltiorrhiza (redroot sage)
Lineage: Eukaryota; Viridiplantae; Streptophyta; Magnoliopsida; Lamiales; Lamiaceae
Description: long non-coding RNA (SMIL_LNC011506)
Source: RNAcentral